UACGGAGGGGGCUAGCGUUGUUCGGAAUUACUGGGCGUAAAGCGCACGUAGGCGGCUUGGCAAGUUAGAGGUGAAAGCCCGGGGCUCAACUCCGGAAUUGCCUUUAAAACUGCAUCGCUAGAAUUGUGGAGAGGUAAGUGGAAUUCCGAGUGUAGAGGUGAAAUUCGUAGAUAUUCGGAAGAACACCAGUGGCGAAGGCGACUUACUGGACACAUAUUGACGCUGAGGUGCGAAAGCGUGGGGAGCAAACGGG
RNAcentral lists this ribosomal RNA (253 nucleotides) under uncultured bacterium. Its description in RNAcentral is "partial 16S ribosomal RNA". It matches the Rfam family "Bacterial small subunit ribosomal RNA", at positions 524 to 776 of the family's 1533-position model. The record is from RNAcentral.